GAUGAACGCUAGCGGCAGGCCUAACACAUGCAAGUCGAGGGGUAACAUAGAGAAGCUUGCUUUUCUGAUGACGACCGGCGCACGGGUGAGUAACGCGUAUACAACCUACCUUUUAGCGGGAAUAGCCCAAGGAAACUUGGAUUAAUGCCCCAUAGUAUGGAGGUCUCUCCUGAGAUUUUCAUUAAACAUUUAUGGCUAUUAGAUGGGUAUGCGUCCUAUUAGUUAGUUGGUAAGGUAACGGCUUACCAAGGCAGCGAUAGGUAGGGGUCCUGAGAGGGAGAUCCCCCACACUGGUACUGAGACACGGACCAG
RNAcentral lists this ribosomal RNA (312 nucleotides) under uncultured Salegentibacter sp. RNAcentral describes it as "bacterial SSU rRNA". It matches the Rfam family "Bacterial small subunit ribosomal RNA", at positions 28 to 334 of the family's 1533-position model. Lineage: Bacteria; Pseudomonadati; Bacteroidota; Flavobacteriia; Flavobacteriales; Flavobacteriaceae. The record is from RNAcentral.